AUUGAACGCUGGCGGCAGGCUUAACACAUGCAAGUCGAGCGAGCGGCGGACGGGUGAGUAAUGUCUGGGAAACUGCCUUAUGGAGGGGGAUAACUACUGGAAACUGUAGCUAAUACCGCAUACCAUCAGAUGUGCCCAGAUGGGAUUAGCUAGUAGGUGGGGUAAUGGCUCACCUAGGCGACGAUCCCUAGCUGGUCUGAGAGGAUGACCAGCCACACUGGAACUGUGACACGGUCCAGACUCCUAGGGGAGGCAGCAGUGGGUAAUAUUGCACAAGGGGCGCAAGCCUGAUGGAGCCAUGCGGCGUGUGUGAAGAAGGCCUUCGGGUUGUAGAGGACUUUCAGCGAGGAGGCGUUGCUCGCGGAAGAAGCACCGGCUAACUCCGUGCCAGCAGCCGCGGUAAUUC
Molecule: ribosomal RNA, 406 nt
Filed under: uncultured bacterium
Lineage: Bacteria
Description: partial 16S ribosomal RNA
Rfam family: Bacterial small subunit ribosomal RNA
Source: RNAcentral